CCUGGCUCAGGAUGAACGCUGCGGCUGCUUAACACAUGCAAGUCGAACGAAGCACUACCGACGGAACUUUUUCGGAGGGAAGAUGGUAAUGACUGAGUGGCGGACGGGUGAGUAACGCGUGGGCAACCUGCCCCAUAGAGGGGGACAACAGCUGGAAACGGCUGCUAAUACCGCAUAACAAGGAGAGAGCGCAUGUUCUUUUCUUCAAAGAUUUAUCGCUAUGGGAUGGACCCGCGUCUGAUUAGCUGGUUGGUGAGGUAACGGCUCACCAAGGCGACGAUCAGUAGCCGGCUUGAGAGAGUGGACGGCCACAUUGGGACUGAGACACGGCCCAGACUCCUACGGGAGGCAGCAGUGGGGAACAUUGCACAAUGGGGGAAACCCUGAUGCAGCGACGCCGCGUGAGUGAAGAAGUAUUUCGGUAUGUAAAGCUCUAUCAGCAGGGAAGAUAAUGACGGUACCUGACUAAGAAGCCCCGGCUAACUACGUG
This 490-nucleotide ribosomal RNA is filed under the name uncultured Anaerostipes sp. RNAcentral's name for it is "bacterial SSU rRNA". It matches the Rfam family "Bacterial small subunit ribosomal RNA", at positions 18 to 507 of the family's 1533-position model. Lineage: Bacteria; Bacillati; Bacillota; Clostridia; Lachnospirales; Lachnospiraceae. The record is from RNAcentral.